Molecule: ribosomal RNA, 684 nt
Filed under: Kosakonia sp.
Lineage: Bacteria; Pseudomonadati; Pseudomonadota; Gammaproteobacteria; Enterobacterales; Enterobacteriaceae
Description: bacterial SSU rRNA
Rfam family: Bacterial small subunit ribosomal RNA
Source: RNAcentral
UGCAGUCGAACGGUAGCACAGAGAGCUUGCUCUCGGGUGACGAGUGGCGGACGGGUGAGUAAUGUCUGGGAAACUGCCUGAUGGAGGGGGAUAACUACUGGAAACGGUAGCUAAUACCGCAUAACGUCGCAAGACCAAAGAGGGGGACCUUCGGGCCUCUUGCCAUCAGAUGUGCCCAGAUGGGAUUAGCUAGUAGGUGGGGUAACGGCUCACCUAGGCGACGAUCCCUAGCUGGUCUGAGAGGAUGACCAGCCACACUGGAACUGAGACACGGUCCAGACUCCUACGGGAGGCAGCAGUGGGGAAUAUUGCACAAUGGGCGCAAGCCUGAUGCAGCCAUGCCGCGUGUAUGAAGAAGGCCUUCGGGUUGUAAAGUACUUUCAGCGGGGAGGAAGGGAGUAAGGUUAAUAACCUUGCUCAUUGACGUUACCCGCAGAAGAAGCACCGGCUAACUCCGUGCCAGCAGCCGCGGUAAUACGGAGGGUGCAAGCGUUAAUCGGAAUUACUGGGCGUAAAGCGCACGCAGGCGGUCUGUCAAGUCGGAUGUGAAAUCCCCGGGCUCAACCUGGGAACUGCAUCCGAAACUGGCAGGCUUGAGUCUCGUAGAGGGAGGUAGAAUUCCAGGUGUAGCGGUGAAAUGCGUAGAGAUCUGGAGGAAUACCGGUGGCGAAGGCGGCCUCCUGG